UGGGAAUGGGGGUAAGGGCC
This 20-nucleotide microRNA is filed under the name Homo sapiens (human). RNAcentral describes it as "hsa-miR-6716-5p". Lineage: Eukaryota; Metazoa; Chordata; Mammalia; Primates; Hominidae. The record is from miRBase by way of RNAcentral.